Long non-coding RNA from Rhincodon typus (whale shark), 1462 nucleotides. RefSeq lists it as uncharacterized. The record is from RefSeq and is a predicted model, not a curated record. The transcript has 3 exons. NCBI's taxonomy places the organism in Eukaryota, Metazoa, Chordata, Chondrichthyes, Orectolobiformes, Rhincodontidae.
CCUGCUGUGUUCAUCCAGCCCUGCACCUUGUUGUCUCGGAUUCUCCAGCAUCUGCAGUUCCUACUAUCUCUGACAAACAAUCAACAUAGUUUUGGUUUCCUGAGAGUGUGAGGAUCUGGAAUUGGUGUCAGGAAAUUGCGAGCUUGAGCUGAGGGGACAGAGUGGUUGCAGAUUGAGGGAAAUCUCAGGGGUCAUGGUCCCUUCAAACAGUCUGAAAUUAAACCAGUCAGUUCACAGCCUAGGAUUCAGCUUUGCCCACAGCACCAUUACUAAGACCAGCUAUCUCUACAUCGUCACAUCACCUGACUUUGAACCCCAUCUGGGUUGUUCGGCUACUGAAACCUUCAUUCAGCCCAUUGUUACCUCCGCACUUGACUAUCCAGCACACUCCUAGCUGGUCUCCCAUGUUCUCCCUUCCGCAAACUUGGGAUCAUUCAAACCUCUACUGCCUGUGUCUGACCUUACAGGGAUUGUCCUUGCUGUUCCACCUCAUGCACUCACUGACAUAUGCUUGCUCCCGGUUGCACAGCCUGUUGAUUUAAAUAUUAUCAUCUUGCUUUCAAAUCCCUUCGGGGCCCAGGCUGGCUUUAUCUCUGUAACCUGCUGUCACCCCUCAGUCUCCCCAAAGUCCUGCGUCAUUUUGACGGGUCUGUUCCCAAUUUUAAUUACUUUGCCCCAAAUUCUGGAGUUCCGUCCCACUCCCGCUUCUCUUCAAACCAAGACCCCCCCCCCCCCCCACUUUGACCGUCUGUUCUCUGGUGGUCCACCUUCAAAGCUUCUGAUCUGUGAUGUUCCUGGGAAGUGGGGGUGGGGACGUGAUUGGGUUAAUGGCAUUAUUGAAAUACAAGUUGUUGUUUUGAUUGUUGCUCCUUGCCUCCUUGUUGUGUAAUGCUGACCAACUGAUUUCUCAUUUCUUUUCCCAGUGGAGUGUUCAUUGUGAUAUAUUUUGUCCUGAUCUGUUGUGAAGGACCCAGGAGGAAAUUUCCCUGGAAUAUGAUCCUCUUGGCUAUUUUUACCUUAGCUAUGUCAUAUCUGACUGGAACAAUUGCAAGGUAAGCGCAGUUUUACUGAAUGUACGACAGUGUGUGAACGCCUACGAUUGUGUGUGGGUGCAUUGGAGUGCAUUUGACUGUGGGAGUGUGUGGAGUGAGUGUGCACGUGUGUGGGUGCGUAUGACUGUGAGAGAGUGUGCGUGAUUGUGUGUGUGUCUGUAAGUGUAUGUGUAUGUGUGAUGCCUUCCAGAAGUGAAUAUCUUACAAAGUCUGGUGUAAGUGUUAAGGUGGAUGGGUUCCACAAGUGCAAGAUCCUCAGUGCAGAGCUGCAGCCUGAUUCUCUGGUGCCCGUUGUCCCCGAUCCCACCAAACAACCUUCGCCUCACACCCCAAUCUUAACGGGAUAAAUGUGGAGGUGCUGGUGUUGGACUGGGGUAGACAAGGUCAGAAAUCACACAACACCAGGUUAU